GCACUCUUCGGAGUGAGCGGCGGACGGGUUAGUAACGCGUGGGAACGUGCCCUUCUCUAAGGAAUAGCCUCUGGAAACGGAGAGUAAUACCUUAUACGCCCUUUGGGGGAAAGAUUUAUCGGAGAAGGAUCGGCCCGCGUAAGAUUAAUAGUUGGUGGGGUAAUGGCCUACCAAGUCUACGAUCUUUAGCUGGUUUUAGAGGAUGAUCAGCAACACUGGGACUGAGACACGGCCCAGACUCCUACGGGAGGCAGCAGUGGGGAAUCUUGGACAAUGGGCGCAAGCCUGAUCCAGCCAUGCCGCGUGAGUGAUGAAGGCCUUAGGGUCGUAAAGCUCUUUCGCCAGAGAUGAUAAUGACAGUAUCUGGUAAAGAAACCCCGGCUAACUCCGUGCCAGCAGCCGCGGUAAUACGGAGGGGGUUAGCGUUGUUCGGAAUUACUGGGCGUAAAGCGUACGUAGGCGGGAUCAG
Molecule: ribosomal RNA, 469 nt
Filed under: Phaeobacter sp. ini9
Lineage: Bacteria; Pseudomonadati; Pseudomonadota; Alphaproteobacteria; Rhodobacterales; Roseobacteraceae
Description: bacterial SSU rRNA
Rfam family: Bacterial small subunit ribosomal RNA
Source: RNAcentral